RNAcentral lists this long non-coding RNA (3263 nucleotides) under Nicotiana tabacum (common tobacco). RNAcentral describes it as "long non-coding RNA (NTAB_LNC005263)". Lineage: Eukaryota; Viridiplantae; Streptophyta; Magnoliopsida; Solanales; Solanaceae. The record is from RNAcentral.
UGUUGCAUCGUCUUUUUCAGCCGCAGAACUAAAACGAGACCCUAGGCUAGCAGCUAAAACACAAUCGCUGCCAGUAACUCCGACCAUCCUCCUCACUUCAAGUAACGAACCAGCUCCACACUCAGCGGCCACACAUGGACAAAAAAGAAAGCCACACGCACACACACACACACACACAUAGAAAAGAGGGGAACAGUAGCGGAACGAGAAUCAAUUGAGGUUUGGAGUUCGAUUCGAGGUGUUUCUAGUCAUCGAUUUUCCUCCGUAGCUCCGGUUGCGGCUGAUGAUUUCAAAGCCAAUUUUUACACGCUUUUGCAGUGUAACUCAAAGUCUGGAAGCUUGCAAUUCUUGAGUACUAAAGAAAAAUUAUUCUUCUGUGAAGGUCCAAUUUCUCAUGCUCACUUUUAUCUAUUUCUUUUUUAUUAGUUUGGUGAAUGCCUUAGAUUAAUUUGCUUUUGUGUUAGCAUAUCUUAUAUCUCAUUUAUUAUUUUUAUUUAUACUUCGUUCAUGCUUUCAGUUGCAUAGUGAAUUGAAUUUAGACUACUACAUUAGAUACUUAGUGAACAUGAUGCUUAGUUUGAUUGGUCUAGAGUUAUAAGAACAUAGUAGCUCAUCAAGUAAUAAAAGUGAAGAAAAUAAUCUAAAAGCCAUAGGGAAAAUUUGUGCUCAAAUAGACAUACUCUCCAUGAACCUCAUAUUUCAAAUUCAAACGUCAUAUUUUUUGGAAAAAGGAUUUAAUCUCAUAGACUUACUUUUAGUUCAUAUUGGCAGUAGUGUUUCUUUUAAAUUUUCAGAACUUUAGUAGUUAUUGAGAUGGUUUGAAAACUCUUUUAGUCUUUGCAUUCUUUACUGUUAGUUUUUUGCCUUUUCUUUCUUUGUCUUUUCCGUGAUUUUGUAGUAUUUCAAGUCAACGUUCUCCUUUAAGUAUUGUAUUUCCUAUCACUGUAUUUAAUUAGUUAUUUAUAGUAAAUUAAUUAACUAUUAGGGGAAUGCAAUCAAUAGUUUAUGUGAUAUUGCAAACAAGAGAAAGCCUAAGAACAAAUAGUGAAAAUUGCCGAAUUGGUUGUGGGGUUGGACAUUAAGUGCUAAUUGUUUCGUUCUACUAUUUUGACCACUAGGAACAUGCUAGGCCGUCAACACCUGGGUGGGCGAACCUUUAGGCACGUUUUGGAUUUAUUGUCGUGAUUAUGUACACGUUCGUGUGACAUAAUUAUGGUUUCUAAAUGAAUAUUCGUAGCUUGCUUUAGGCCUGUUUAACAUACCAUCGUGGUUGUGUACACGUUCACGCGACAUAAUUACGAUCUUAAAAAAAUCUAAGUAUGCAUUCGCGCAACUUUGGCCAAAAUUUUUUAAUAUUAAUAAAGCGUGAUUAAUUGUGGACACGUACGCGUGACAUGAUUCUUGACGCACCAAACUAAAUGAGUACACGUACGUGUGAUUCGUUUUAGGAUAAUUUUUUAGUUAGAAAAGGGCAAAUACACAUAGGUUCUAAAAUGAGUAACUAGACAAUUUGAUUAAGCCAAGUAUGAUCAAAGUGACCGUGCUAAAAUCACGAAACUCGGAAAUGCCUAACACCGUCUCCCGGGUUAACAGAAUUUCUUACCCUGAUUUCUGUGUUCGCAGACCAUAAAUAAAGUCAACUUCCUCGAUUUGGGAUUUUAUACCAGUGACUUGGGACACCAUAAAUUAUCCCAAGUGACGACUCUGUUUUAAUAUAAAUAAUCACCUUUCGAUUGUCACUUAAAUUGGAAAAAAGUCUCUUACACCCUUUUCGGGGGUAGGAAAAAAGAGGUGUGACAGCUCUGGCGACUCCACUGGGGUGAAGAUCCCAGAAUCUCUGGUUCAGGGUUCAAGAAUUCGAGCUUGUUAAUAUGAUUUUAUUUGGCUUUAUUUAUUGUUAAUAUUAUUGUAUUUUGUGAACCUUUUGUGCUUAUUGCUGUCUAUUUACCGCUUUGGUAUUAUUUGAAUUGUAUAUAACUGUCUUCUUACGCCACCCCUCUGAGUCUUCUGAAAAUAGUGCACACGUUCACGUGGCCCACUUUUUCUGUAGAAGUUAUACUAAAUAGAAUGAGGUUGGGCCAGCAACAAGGCCGGUAGACUUUAGUGCUCCCGGUACAUUCGCCCCUCUUCGGCUCGAGUAGUCCGCUCGGGUAAGCCAGGUCAAGAACACAACCCCAGGUUUAAACUUAGAAUAACAUAACCUCAUGCUGGAUCCCUAGUAAGCACGUUUGUUUGCAUCAUGUGCAUUUGACUUUGGGGACUCAGACAGAGGUUGGGUCCGUCUAGGAUAGGUGUACCCCAAAAAAAAAGACCAUCCUGAUGCAUCUUAUGUGCUACAUGUUACAAUCUUCGAGGGUAAAAUGGUCAUUUUGCAGACCAAUGAUAGCUGAGGGCAAAUAAGGAAAAAGAAAAAAGAAAAAAAGAGAGGCUGAAGUGUGAAAAAUAAAGCAAGUAGGGCCCGAUUAUGUUUUCUGUCACAUUUUGUUAAGAAAAAAAAAACAUGAAAAUCCAAAAACAAAAAAGAUUUUGCACUUUCCCCUCAUUUUUCAAAAAAAAAUCAAAAAAAGGAAAAAGAAAAAAAAAUCCAAAAAGAGUUUACAUGUUUCAUCAUUUUAAAAAAAAAAGACAAAAAAUAUAUUUUUUCUCUAAAUUAGUUAUUUUUUUUUAUUCUCGCUCGUAUCCAAUCUGCCCGAACUACGCAUACCUGAUUCUCGUUUGGGGCGUGAUACGUAGGAAACCCACAUAGGGUCUGGUCUUCCUAGUGAGUCUUAGGUUCUUCGCUUUGCGGGGUCUUAGCCAAAUCUUGCAUUUUUAGCCACCUUUAGCCACAUAGGUUAGUUUUAGAAAAAUAGUCACAAUCAUGUCUUGCAUGUGUCCAACGGGAAGGAUUAUUGUCUCACAUAGCGUUCUAGGUCUUUAACUUAUUUGGUUUUAAUUUUCUCAUACAGGUGUGGGUUUACUUACCGGAUUUUGCGCAUGAUAGACACCUCGGGACCAUCCAGGCAGGAUCGUUCAUUCAGGAGUUGCUUAAGGAGAUUUAUUUUUGUUUUGAGUCUGUUUUUUUACGUCGUCUUUUACCUUCUAGCUUUACAGUAAUGUCGAGUCUUUCGUUAUUGUAUUUCCUAUUUUGUAUCGGAAAAAAUGUGUUAUAAAUCAAAAAUCCAAAAAAAAAAAAGAAAUUUUGCAUUUUUAUAUUUCCAUUAGAAGUUUUCUUUAGAAUACUAAUUCUAGGAAUAAAAAAAAUCAUUUGAGGUGAUUUUCCU